CUCAGCCCAGGUCUGAUCCUACAGCAAAUCUAAAGGUCAGGGAGCUUUUCCAAUAAUCAGCAGGUUUAACAGUCCUGGUUUUGUAUUUUCCAGAAAUUGUCCCUAAGGUGUUCCACGAGACUGAUCAAGUCACAAACUACAAGUGAGUCCUGUGCUGUGACGAAUGCAAGAAAGGACACUGAGAAUUAGACACCGGGUCUUUACUGCUGUCCGAUGCGACGGGGGAGUGGGGAACCCCUGGAAAGAUCACCACCUGCACUGGAGCUGGGGUUUCUCGUCUGUUAAAUUAGAGAGUCAAACAAGAGAAUCUCUUCAGUCCUGUUAAUUAAAGAGAUGCUGGUUUAUUCAUCCCCCACCC
Molecule: long non-coding RNA, 358 nt
Filed under: Bos taurus (domestic cattle)
Lineage: Eukaryota; Metazoa; Chordata; Mammalia; Artiodactyla; Bovidae
Description: long non-coding RNA NONBTAT017556
Source: RNAcentral